This 250-nucleotide ribosomal RNA is filed under the name uncultured bacterium. RNAcentral describes it as "partial 16S ribosomal RNA". It matches the Rfam family "Bacterial small subunit ribosomal RNA", at positions 524 to 772 of the family's 1533-position model. The record is from RNAcentral.
UACGUAGGGGGCAAGCGUUAUCCGGAUUCACUGGGCGUAAAGGGCGCGUAGGCGGUUCCGUAAGUCAGGCGUGAAAGCUCACGGCUCAACUGUGGACGUGCGUCUGAUACUGCGGUGACUUGAGGUCGGUAGAGGUAAGUGGAACUAGCGGUGUAGCGGUGAAAUGCGCAGAUAUCGCUAGGAACGCCGGUGGCGAAGGCGACUUGCUGGGCCGUACCUGACGCUGAUGCGCGAAAGCUAGGGGAGCGAA